UCUUCUUCCUACUUCUGCCUCUUCUCUGUUUUUCCUCCAUUCUUUUUCUGUUCGAGUUUUGAGAGAUCAAAUAGGAGUUAUAAGAUCAUGUGAAGAAGCGUAUGAGAAAGGGAUCAGUAGGUGAUGGUGAUUAGAUCUGUUGUUGAUUCAAAAUCGAAGGAGGGAGUGAAUUAAGAGUUAGGGUUUAUGAGAAAUCAAUUGGAGUUUGAUUAGGUGAUGAUUAAGAGAGGAAUUAAGGGUUCUGUUUAGGUGAGAGAUGCAAUCGAUGAGAGAUCAGUUGACAUAGAAGAUGUUGAUAAAGAAAUGGAAGUGGUGAUGAUUGUUUUAUCAAAUAAUUAGGGUUUUUCAGAAGAUUGUGUAGAAGUUCGAUUAGAAGAUGAAUUGAUGUUUUAAGAAGGGGGUCUGAGAUGGGUUUUUACAGAUAGAAUGAAUUGGGGUUUAUAAUGAAUAGAGAUUGAAGAGUUAAGAGUUUUCAUGGAUCCAGUGAUGGUGUUGAAGAUUGUGGGUAUGGAUUGGGUGAGAUGAGGAGUUCUGAGUGGUCUUGAGAUGAUCUGCUGAAUUGAGUCAGAAGCAAGGAAGAUGGAUUUUCUUUAAGGUAAUAGUUUCUGAGUUGAUCUAGUAAAGCUAUUUACUUCUUUUGAUUCAGUAUCUGUAGUUGAUAAUUGGGUUGUGGUUUAAUUAAAGAGGUGAAGUAGUUUUGCUGGAAAAUCAGUGGAUUUGGGUUCUAAAGAGAACUAAGAUUAAAUGGUAGAGAUGAAUGUUGAGUUGAAUGAGUAUUGGUUUUGUAACAGAAAUGAGAUGAAGAUGUAAUUGAGUCUCUGUUGGUGUUGUUAAUGGAAUUGAGUUGAUGUUAUAAUUAGUUGAAUUUGGUGAUUAUACUGUUGAACUGAUAAAAGUGGAUUGUUAGGGUUGCAAUUAUGUGAAAUGGUUGGUGUUAGUAUUCAGAGGUGCAGGACUGGAUGGAGUUGUAGUUGUUGGAGUUGCUUGUGAGAUGAUGAAGUUGUAAUGAGUUCAGCUGAAGUUAAUUGUGCUAGAAGGAGCUGUAAUAGGUGAGGGUACACGGAAUGAUGUUGGGUAUCAAGGAUUGCUUGCAAUGGUGGUAGUGAUGUUACUGAAUCGGUGGUGGUAGUGUAUCGGAAUACUGUUGAAGUGGCUGGCUUUAGUUUUGGAGCUGAGUUGUUGCUAAUGGUGCUAUUACAGGUGCAAUGUGGUAGCUAAGGUUAGUGGUGGAGCUAGUGGUACUCUCAAAUGAAGUUUGGUGAUGGUUGAGGAUUGUUGUUCAGUGGUUGAGUUCUUAGAGGGGGUUAUCUAUAGAUGAAGUUGAUGAAGUCGAUGAAUGAAAUUGCAGGCUUGCUGAACUAAGAUGAGUUAAAAUAGCUUUUAGUAUUGGAACUGCAGUUGUGAGGACUUUGAGGUGCAUGUGAACUUCAGUUCGAAGAAUGGGUUUACAGUUGAGUAAUAUAUGGGUUUAUACAAGUAAGAAGAGAUGGAGAUACAAGUGAUGGUUCUGUACAAUGAAUGGAACGGAAGUUGCUUUAGUAUGUGUAGGAUUAUGGGGUUGUUAAGGUAAAUUGUAGGUACAGUGGUAGACCUAGUGUUGUUGUCUGUGGAUUAGUAUUGUAGCUAGCUGAAUAUAGAAGGAGUGUUGCGUAGAGCUGCAAAUGCAGUUAGUCUACAUUAACAACGGUCGAUUCAAAGGAUGAACCAGUGGAUCGUGGAUCUCGAGGUAGGCGUGGCUUGUCAUCAAAAGACGUGGAAUACAUUCGACUCUUGGUAAUAAAUAAAGUUUGGAUGAAUAGCAGAGCGGAAAAGAGCAGAAAAGUAGUGAAAAGCCGGG
Long non-coding RNA from Papaver somniferum (opium poppy), 1837 nucleotides. RefSeq lists it as uncharacterized. The record is from RefSeq and is a predicted model, not a curated record. NCBI's taxonomy places the organism in Eukaryota, Viridiplantae, Streptophyta, Magnoliopsida, Ranunculales, Papaveraceae. The transcript is spliced from 3 exons.